Molecule: ribosomal RNA, 253 nt
Filed under: uncultured bacterium
Lineage: Bacteria
Description: partial 16S ribosomal RNA
Rfam family: Bacterial small subunit ribosomal RNA
Source: RNAcentral
UACGAAGGGGGCUAGCGUUGCUCGGAAUCACUGGGCGUAAAGCGCACGUAGGCGGCUUCUUAAGUCAGGGGUGAAAUCCUGGAGCUCAACUCCAGAACUGCCUUUGAUACUGAGGAGCUUGAGUCCGGGAGAGGUGAGUGGAACUGCGAGUGUAGAGGUGAAAUUCGUAGAUAUUCGCAAGAACACCAGUGGCGAAGGCGGCUCACUGGCCCGGUACUGACGCUGAGGUACGAAAGCGUGGGGAUCAAACAGG